Molecule: ribosomal RNA, 253 nt
Filed under: uncultured bacterium
Lineage: Bacteria
Description: partial 16S ribosomal RNA
Rfam family: Bacterial small subunit ribosomal RNA
Source: RNAcentral
UACGAAGGGGGCUAGCGUUGCUCGGAAUCACUGGGCGUAAAGCGCACGUAGGCGGCUCUUUAAGUCAGGGGUGAAAUCCUGGAGCUCAACUCCAGAACUGCCCUUGAUACUGGGGAUCUUGAGUCCGGAAGAGGUGAGUGGAACUCCGAGUGUAGAGGUGAAAUUCGUAGAUAUUCGGAAGAACACCAGUGGCGAAGGCGGCUCACUGGUCCGGUACUGACGCUGAGGUGCGAAAGCGUGGGGAGCAAACAGG